GGAAAAGAAAGAUUUGCACACUCAGAAUACAUGCUAAAACAAGCCAAGCCAACAAUCAGACCGUUAUUUCAUUUCUACUCCACACUGUGCACUUAGCCCAUGCUACUACAACAAGAUGCUUCAUAGUGUUUCUAUGGCAAGGAAUGUGUCAAGAUUUGGGAAUGAAAAAGUCACAAUUCCAAAUAAAUAAAAAUCACAGUUUUAAUUUAUUUACUGAUUUAUGGUUUUGUUUAUUGUUGCAGUAAGGUUCAAGCAUGAAACCUUUCCACUGAUUUGCUGUCAUGUUCUUCCCAACUCUGCUUAAGCCUGAUUUAAGAUGUCUACAUACAGUGUUUGCUUAUCUCUCUAUGAUUCUGGUGGCUGCUGUCAUUCCAUGGCUUAUAGCUUCAUCACUCCAAUCUUCAAAGGAGACAGUAUUUUUGAAUCUUUGAUCUAUCUACAUGUCACCUUUUUCUCUGUAAUUGUGCCUGCUCUUCUUGACUCACGAAAAUACUGCAAAAGAAACUUGCUUUGUCUGCCCUGA
RNAcentral lists this long non-coding RNA (523 nucleotides) under Callithrix jacchus (white-tufted-ear marmoset). Its description in RNAcentral is "lncRNA (ENSCJAG00000080047.1)". The record is from RNAcentral. Lineage: Eukaryota; Metazoa; Chordata; Mammalia; Primates; Cebidae.